CCCUCACGGAGAUGCAGUUUGUCGAACGGAUAAGUGUUUGUCAUGGUGUGGGACCUAGCUGAGCCGACCGCCGCUCCCUUUGGGCGGCAAGGCAAGAAGCUCCCGGCUAUGGAGAUGGCGACCGGGGGAGACGACGCAACCGAGUUCCUGUGAGAUCCGGUUGACUGGUAACCUUAGAUUUCCCCUGCCGGACCUCGCCGCCGCACAGCCAUUGGUGUCCAAUGGAGCAAACCAGACGCUGAUAUGUGCGCCUGCUGAGUCCAGCAUUGGUGAUGUCGGAGAAGCGGCACUUGCCAUGCAAUUAGAUUUCAACAGCACUUGUGAUGGAAUUGCCCUGUCUGCGCCAACCUCCGAGCAAUCUACAGGCAAAGGCGAACCUCAAGCCCCAGGCUGGACAAAAAGAAUCCGUGUUGGCCGUGCGCCAAAUGAACGCCCCCCAUGUGCUGCCAGGAUGAGUGCCUUGGAAAUGACAUUGAGAAGAUAUUCAGAAAAGAAAAUUGACACUGUCAUAGUACCUGUAGUUGGAAGCAACUUCAAUUUACAUGUGUCCGAUCAGUGUCCGAUCAGUGUGUAGGUGCGAAUUUAGGGAGUGACCGAUCAGUGUCCGCAGGCGUCCCAGACGUGUCCACAUAAGUAGGGGACCGGA
Molecule: long non-coding RNA, 646 nt
Organism: Triticum dicoccoides
Lineage: Eukaryota; Viridiplantae; Streptophyta; Magnoliopsida; Poales; Poaceae
Exons: 3
Source: RefSeq, a predicted model, not a curated record